UACGGGGGGGACGAGCGUUGUUCGGAUUUACUGGGCGUAAAGGGCGCGUAGGCGGACUUUCAAGUCGGAAGUGAAAACCGGAGGCUUAACCUCAGGCUUGCUUUCGAUACUGUCAGUCUUGAGUACAGGAGAGGAAAGCGGAAUUCCAGGUGUAGCGGUGAAAUGCGUAGAUAUCUGGAAGAACACCAGUAGCGAAGGCGGCUUUCUGGUCUGAUACUGACGCUAAAGCGCGAAGGCUAGGGGAGCAAACAGG
RNAcentral lists this ribosomal RNA (253 nucleotides) under uncultured prokaryote. RNAcentral describes it as "partial 16S ribosomal RNA". It matches the Rfam family "Bacterial small subunit ribosomal RNA", at positions 524 to 776 of the family's 1533-position model. The record is from RNAcentral.